This 254-nucleotide ribosomal RNA is filed under the name uncultured bacterium. Its description in RNAcentral is "partial 16S ribosomal RNA". It matches the Rfam family "Bacterial small subunit ribosomal RNA", at positions 524 to 776 of the family's 1533-position model. The record is from RNAcentral.
UACGUAGGGGGCGAGCGUUGUCCGGAUUUAUUGGGCGUAAAGAGCUCGUAGGCGGUUUGGUAAGUCAGGUGUGAAAUCUCCACGCUCAACGUGGAGGGGCCACCUGAUACUGCCAUGACUGGAGUCCGGUAGAGGAGUGUGGAAUUCCCGGUGUAGCGGUGAAAUGCGUAGAUAUCCGGAGGAACACCAGUGGCGAAGGCGGCUUUCUGGACACCAACUGACGCUGAGAUGCGAAAGCGUGGGGAGCAAACAGG